Molecule: ribosomal RNA, 985 nt
Filed under: uncultured bacterium
Lineage: Bacteria
Description: bacterial SSU rRNA
Rfam family: Bacterial small subunit ribosomal RNA
Source: RNAcentral
UCGANCGCAGUAGCAAUACUGAGUGGCAGACGGGUGAGUAACAUGUGGGAAUCUGCCUUGUGGUUCAGGACAACAUUGGGAAACCGAUGCUAAUACUGGAUAAGCCCUUACGGGGAAAGUUUUAAUGCCAUAAGAUGAGCCCGCAUUUGAUUAGUUAGUUGGUGAGGUAAUGGCUCACCAAGACAAUGAUCAAUAGCUGAUCUGAGAGGAUGAUCAGCCACACUGGGACUGAGACACGGCCCAGACUCCUACGGGAGGCAGCAGUGGGGAAUCUUGCACAAUGGAGGAAACUCUGAUGCAGCGAUGCCGCGUGAGUGAAGAAGGCCUUUGGGUUGUAAAGCUCUUUUGUAGGGGAAGAUAAUGACUGUACCCUAAGAAUAAGGUCCGGCUAACUUCGUGCCAGCAGCCGCGGUAAUACGAAGGGACCUAGCGUAGUUCGGAAUUACUGGGCGUAAAGCGCGCGUAGGCCGUCGAGUUAGUUAAUUGUGAAAUCCCAAAGCUCAACUUUGGAACUGCAAUUAAAACUGCUCGACUAGAGUUUGAUAGAGGAAAGCGGAAUACAUAGUGUAGAGGUGAAAUUCGUAGAUAUUAUGUAGAACACCAGUUGCGAAGGCGGCUUUCUGGAUCAACACUGACGCUGAGGCGCGAAAGUAUGGGUAGCAAAGAGGAUUAGAUACCCUCGUAGUCCAUACCAUAAACGAUGAUUGCUAGAUGUUGGAAAUUUAUUUUCAGUAUCGCAGCUAACGCAUUAAGCAAUCCGCCUGGGGAGUACGACCGCAAGGUUAAAACUCAAAUGAAUUGACGGGGACCCGCACAAGCGGUGGAGCAUGUGGUUUAAUUCGAAGAUACGCGCAGAACCUUACCAACCCUUGACAUGUCUGUCGCGAGUUUANGAAACUAGACUCUUCGGUUCGGCCGGACAGAACACAGGUGCUGCAUGGNUGUCGUCAGCUCGUGUCGUGAGANGUUGGGUUAAGUCCCGCAA